UACCCAUCUCGAACACGGCAGUUAAGCUCUUCAGCGUCGAUGGUACUGCAUGGGAGACUGUGUGGGAGAGUAGAACGCUGCCGGGU
RNAcentral lists this ribosomal RNA (86 nucleotides) under Desulfobacter postgatei. The record is from RNAcentral. Lineage: Bacteria; Pseudomonadati; Thermodesulfobacteriota; Desulfobacteria; Desulfobacterales; Desulfobacteraceae.